UUGGUUAAGUUAGAAAGGGCGCACGGUGGAUGCCUUGGCACUAGGAGCCGAAGAAGGACGGGACUAACACCGAUAUGCUUUGGGGAGCUGUACGUAAGCGUUGAUCCAGAGAUUUCCGAAUGGGGGAACCCACUAUCUUUAGUCGGAUAGUAUCCUUACGUGAAUACAUAGCGUGAGGAAGGCAGACCCAGGGAACUGAAACAUCUAAGUACCUGGAGGAAGAGAAAGAAAAAUCGAUUUCCUGAGUAGCGGCGAGCGAAACGGAAAGAGCCCAAACCAAGAAGCUUGCUUCUUGGGGUUGUAGGACACUCUAUACGGAGUUACAAAAGAAAGUUAUAAAUGAAGCGGUCUGGAAAGGCCCGCCAAAGACGGUAACAGCCCGGUAGUUGAAAUGGCUUUCCCUCCAGAGUGGAUCCUGAGUACGGCGGAACACGUGAAAUUCCGUCGGAAUCCGGGAGGACCAUCUCCCAAGGCUAAAUACUCCCUAGUGACCGAUAGUGAACCAGUACCGUGAGGGAAAGGUGAAAAGCACCCCGGAAGGGGAGUGAAACAGUUCCUGAAACCGUGUGCCUACAAGUAGUUAGAGCCCGUUAAUGGGUGAUAGCGUGCCUUUUGUAGAAUGAACCGGCGAGUUACGAUUUGUUGCAAGGUUAAGCGGAAAAAGCGGAGCCGUAGCGAAAGCGAGUCUGAAUAGGGCGCAUAAGUAACAGGUCGUAGACCCGAAACCAGGUGAUCUACCCAUGUCCAGGAUGAAGGUAAGGUAAUACUUACUGGAGGUCCGAACCCACGCACGUUGAAAAGUGCGGGGAUGAGGUGUGGGUAGCGGAGAAAUUCCAAUCGAACUUGGAGAUAGCUGGUUCUCUCCGAAAUAGCUUUAGGGCUAGCCUCGAGGUAAAGAGUCAUGGAGGUAGAGCACUGUUUGGACUAGGGGCCCUUCUCGGGUUACCGAAUUCAGAUAAACUCCGAAUGCCAUGUACUUAUACUCGGGAGUCAGACUGCGAGUGAUAAGAUCCGUAGUCGAAAGGGAAACAGCCCAGACCACCAGUUAAGGUCCCCAAAUAUAUGUUAAGUGGAAAAGGAUGUGGGGUUGCUUAGACAACCAGGAUGUUGGCUUAGAAGCAGCCACCAUUGAAAGAGUGCGUAAUAGCUCACUGGUCGAGUGACCCCGCGCCGAAAAUGUACCGGGGCUAAACAUAUUACCGAAACUGUGGAUGAACCUCUUUAGAGGUUCGUGGUAGGAGAGCGUUCUAAGGGCGGUGAAGUCAGACCGGAAGGACUGGUGGAGCGCUUAGAAGUGAGAAUGCCGGUAUGAGUAGCGAAAGAAGGGUGAGAAUCCCUUCCACCGAAUAUCUAAGGUUUCCUGAGGAAGGCUCGUCCGCUCAGGGUUAGUCGGGACCUAAGCCGAGGCCGAUAGGCGUAGGCGAUGGACAACAGGUAGAGAUUCCUGUACCAGUGCUAAUUGUUUAACCGAUGGGGUGACACAGAAGGAUAGGGAAUCGCACGAAUGGAAAUGUGCGUCCAAGCAGUGAGUGUGAGAAGUAGGCAAAUCCGCUUCUCGCGAAGCAUGAGCUGUGAUGGGGAAGGAAAUUAAGUACGGAAGUUCCUGAUUUCACGCUGUCAAGAAAAGCCUCUAGGAAGAGUAGUACUGCCCGUACCGCAAACCGACACAGGUAGAUGAGGAGAGAAUCCUAAGGUGAGCGAGAGAACUCUCGUUAAGGAACUCGGCAAAAUGACCCCGUAACUUCGGGAGAAGGGGUGCUCUAUUAGGGUGCAAGCCCGAGAGAGCCGCAGUGAAUAGGCCCAGGCGACUGUUUAGCAAAAACACAGGUCUCUGCAAAACCGUAAGGUGACGUAUAGGGGCUGACGCCUGCCCGGUGCUGGAAGGUUAAGAGGAGUGCUUAGCUUCGGCGAAGGUACGAAUUGAAGCCCCAGUAAACGGCGGCCGUAACUAUAACGGUCCUAAGGUAGCGAAAUUCCUUGUCGGGUAAGUUCCGACCCGCACGAAAGGCGCAACGAUCUGGGCACUGUCUCAACGAGAGACUCGGUGAAAUUAUAGUACCUGUGAAGAUGCAGGUUACCCGCGACAGGACGGAAAGACCCCGUGGAGCUUUACUGCAACCUGAUAUGGAAUGUUUGUACCGCUUGUACAGGAUAGGUAGGAGCCGAAGAGACGUGUGCGCUAGCAUACGAGGAGGCAAUGGUGGGAUACUACCCUGGCUGUAUGACCAUUCUAACCCGCCACGCUUAGCGCGUGGGGAGACAGUGUCAG
This 2269-nucleotide ribosomal RNA is filed under the name Listeria monocytogenes. RNAcentral's name for it is "partial 23S ribosomal RNA". It matches the Rfam family "Bacterial large subunit ribosomal RNA", at positions 1 to 2260 of the family's 2925-position model. Lineage: Bacteria; Bacillati; Bacillota; Bacilli; Caryophanales; Listeriaceae. The record is from RNAcentral.